RNAcentral lists this ribosomal RNA (652 nucleotides) under uncultured Vibrionaceae bacterium. Its description in RNAcentral is "bacterial SSU rRNA". It matches the Rfam family "Bacterial small subunit ribosomal RNA", at positions 28 to 671 of the family's 1533-position model. The record is from RNAcentral. Lineage: Bacteria; Pseudomonadati; Pseudomonadota; Gammaproteobacteria; Vibrionales; Vibrionaceae.
AUUGAACGCUGGCGGCAGGCCUAACACAUGCAAGUCGAGCGGAAACGAGAAUAGCUUGCUAUUCGGCGUCGAGCGGCGGACGGGUGAGUAAUGCCUGGGAAAUUGCCCUGAUGUGGGGGAUAACCAUUGGAAACGAUGGCUAAUACCGCAUAAUAGCUUCGGCUUAAAGAGGGGGACCUUCGGGCCUCUCGCUUCAGGAUAUGCCCAGGUGGGAUUAGCUAGUUGGUGAGGUAAAGGCUCACCAAGGCGACGAUCCCUAGCUGGUCUGAGAGGAUGAUCAGCCACACUGGAACUGAGACACGGUCCAGACUCCUACGGGAGGCAGCAGUGGGGAAUAUUGCACGAUGGGCGCAAGCCUGAUGCAGCCAUGCCGCGUGUAUGAAGAAGGCCUUCGGGUUGUAAAGUACUUUCAGCAGUGAGGAAGGGUGUGUAGUUAAUAGCUGCAUACUUUGACGUUAGCUGCAGAAGAAGCACCGGCUAACUCCGUGCCAGCAGCCGCGGUAAUACGGAGGGUGCGAGCGUUAAUCGGAAUUACUGGGCGUAAAGCGCAUGCAGGUGGUUUGUUAUGUCAGAUGUGAAAGCCCGGGGCUCAACCUCGGAACCGCAUUUGAAACUGGCAGGCUAGAGUACUGUAGAGGGGGGUAGAAUUUCA